This 777-nucleotide ribosomal RNA is filed under the name uncultured Neocallimastigales. RNAcentral describes it as "partial large subunit ribosomal RNA". It matches the Rfam family "Eukaryotic large subunit ribosomal RNA", at positions 23 to 645 of the family's 3401-position model. Lineage: Eukaryota; Fungi; Neocallimastigomycota; Neocallimastigomycetes; Neocallimastigales. The record is from RNAcentral.
AUAGAGACUCAGAGCUGCAUAUCAAUAAGCGGAGGAAAAGAAACUAACUAGGAUUCCCCUAGUAACGGCGAGUGAAGCGGGAAGAGCUCAAAUUUGAAAUCUUAAAGGGUUUCUACCUUGACGAAUUGUAGUUUAAAGAAGUGUUUUCUGUUGGAGUUUUCGGUAAAAGUUCUUUGGAAUAGGACAUCAUAGAGGGUGAGAAUCCCGUAUUUGACCAUUACUUUCCAGCUGUGUGAUACACUUUCAAGAGUCGGAUUGUUUGGGAAUGCAGUCCAAAAUGGGUGGUAAAUUUCAUCUAAAGCUAAAUAUUGGCGAGAGACCGAUAGCGAACAAGUACCGUGAGGGAAAGAUGAAAAGAGCUUUGAAAAGAGAGUUAAACAGUACGUGAAAUUGUCAAAAGGGAAGCGUUUGACACCAGUGUUGUUUUUCCGAAAAUCAAUUACGAAUGUUUUGUUUCUGAGGAGUGAUGACUUCAUCGGCUUCCUUCUCUCUUCACGAAACUUUUGUAAUGCACUUUCCGGUUAACAAGUCAACAUCAAUUUCUUUUGUUGUAAAAGAGUAUUCGGAAGGUGGCUUUCUUUUCGGAGAAAGUGUUUAUAGCCCUAUACUUCUACAAUCGGAGAGAUUGAGGUCUGCAGCGUAGAUCCUUCGGGGUUAGAUACACUUGUGCUAAGUUAUAGCUUUUCAUAGACAACUUGUUGACUAUGUUUAGUCUUGUAGCUUACUCGCUUGUGCUAUUUUACCUACGCUUAGGAUGUUGAAGUCAUCGUAUCGCGC